This 1099-nucleotide ribosomal RNA is filed under the name Asterfilopsis centralis. RNAcentral describes it as "eukaryotic LSU rRNA". It matches the Rfam family "Eukaryotic large subunit ribosomal RNA", at positions 677 to 1828 of the family's 3401-position model. The record is from RNAcentral. RNAcentral also lists the same sequence under 1 other name. Lineage: Eukaryota; Rhodophyta; Florideophyceae; Gigartinales; Phyllophoraceae.
AGCGCGGGUGCGAGUCGGAGGGUGCAAGCCCGUGGGCGAAGUGAAAGCGAGUUUAAAAACGAGCAGUUUGGGGCGGCAUAAGAUCGUUGAUCUUAAGACCGACCCAGAGCAGUUGCGCUGGGACCCGAAAGAUGGUGAACUAUGCCGGAGUAGGGCAAAGCCAGAGGAAACUCUGGUGGAGGCUCGUAGCGGUGCUGACGUGCAAAUCGCUCGUCGAACUUGGGUAUAGGGGCGAAAGACUAAUCGAACCAUCUAGUAGCUGGUUCCCUCCGAAGUUUCUCUCAGGAUAGCGGGCCGACAAGUUGUUUUGUGCGGUAAAGCGAAUGAUUAGCGCAUUCGGGGGCGUUUAGCCUUUGGGCGAUUCUCAAACUUUCAAUGCGCAAGGGUGCCGCUGCUUAAUUGAGCGGUACCGGUAAAAACGUCGGCCCUGUGGGCCACUUUUGGUAAGCAGAACUGGCGAUACGGGAUGAACCGUAAGCAAGGUUAAGGCGCCAAACUGCCCGCUUAUAGACCCCACAAAAGGUGUUGAUUCAUCGAGACAGCAGGACGGUGGCCAUGGAAGUCGGAAUCCGCCAAGGAGUGUGUAACAACUCACCUGCCGAAUGAAUUAGCCCUGAAAAUGGAUGGCGCUGAAGCGGGCGGCCGACACCUUGCCGUCUGAACAAGAAUUUCAGAUGAGUAGGAGGGCGUGGCGGCCGUGUCGAAGCGCGCGUGCAGACGCGUGUGGAACGGCCGCUAGUGCAGAUCUUGGUGGUAGUAGCAAGUAUUCAAGCGAGAUCCUUGAAGGGCGAAGUGGGGAAGGGUUUCACGCGAACAUUGAUUGGGCGUGAGUGAGUCGUUCCUAAGCCGAGUGGCAAUUGCUAAUUAACGGCGAAAGGGAAGCGGGUUGACAUUCCCGCACACGGAUGUGGAGGCGGCGACGCAUUAUUGGGGCGAACACGCUGGCGAUGGCGCUGGGCAGAGUUGUCUUUUCUGUUUGACCGCUUGCGCACGCAGUGUGGAAUCCGCUUGUCGGGAGAAACACGCGUGUACGGGCAGAGCGCUGGGGCUUUUCCAGCGUCCAGCUCGCCAUCGACGGCCCUUGAAACUUUGCCUGCUG